AUUGGUUGACAAGAAAGAACAUGUUCUGUCAUUUGUCUGUUCUUUGAAUUGUCUCUAAUGAAAUUUAAUAAUACAUUGCCAAGAGGCAUAGUUCUAAGUGAUAUCGCCAAGUCUAUUGUCUCAUUAUGAAUGCACUGGAUUCUUCGUGCAGAAACAAUGACGUUAUAACUCUCCUAGAACAAAAUAUAGGUAAAGAAAAAAAAAUACUUCCUCAGGGUUAAUUUUCAUAAACAAUUGAAUAUGAAACUGAAAUAUUCCUUGUAACUCUUUUCAUUGCUUAGAGAUAAGCUAAUAGACAUAACUAGAAGGUCGUGAAAGUUUCAGUUCUGAUUUUUGAAGAAAAUGCAGAAACCAACAGAUUCAAAACGAAUGCUUUUUGAUGGAAAAGAUGGAUAUGAUGUUGUUCUUGUAGGGGUCUUGAUAUGGUGGUUCUGUUGCCGCUUGUUGGUUGCCAAUGGCAGGAGUCAAGAUAUGCCUGGUUUGGAGGGGCUGAAUAUUGGAAACUAAUUGGUAUUUUUUCCAGCAGACAGUUUCAGCAUGAAUUAACUGAGAGGAUGGAGAAUCAGAAGCUUAGGUGUCACUUGGUCAACCUGCUAGGUUUGUCCCAAAGGGUGCUUUGUUCCAGUUACUUUACAGAGGCUGGGAUUGGCCUGACGUUGUCAUCAACCACCCCAUGCGUGGCAAGGUUGCAUUACAAUUUGCAAAAGAGUUGUGCAGAUAGAGAUUGUGGUGAAAAUGUCAAACUUCUCAAACAGAAGAAGGAUCUGCAGGGAAUAUUUCAGUUUAUGUUCUUGCAGUUCAGGCCACUGGAUUCAUGUGGACAAUCUUAAGUGCCUUAUUGAGAUUGUGGCACCCAAGCUGAAGUCUCUUAAUGUCUUAAGUGGCUUUUGUGGCAUACUGUGAUGCAGGGAAAGUACCGAAACGCCUGUGAUUUGGAGAUGAAUGAUAAAACCAGGGCAAUUUACUUUCGCACCUCCAGAUGACUCUUUCCUUUCCAGCCUUGUAAGCAAGCUCAAUGAUGCAUGUAAUGGCAGCCACAGAAGACAUUAACAUGGCAAUCAAAGCAUAUCGGGGCUUGUUUGCAGAGUAAAGCUACUCGAAAGCUGCUGACAGAAGCUCGGUAAGAAUAUUGAUUAUGAGAAACAUCCAUUCUGGGAUGCUAACCUAUGAAAUAAGUCAAGAAGGUAUCAUAUUUAGUAAACUUUUUAGUCAAAUCUUUCUAGAAAUUGAAUAUAAAAAGAGUUGUUGAAUGUAUUUCUCUUAUGUGUUGACUUCUAGUAUUACUUGUGCUUUUCGUACAAAUGGGGCUGCAAUCUGAGUACAGCUGAAAGGUUACAAUGUAAGUUUAAAUCCCAAACCUGCAAAAUGCCAUCUUUUAACCAACUGUACUAAGCGCUCGGUUCAACUCUAGAAUUACUUUGUUCACCUUUCGAGUUGAACUACCUUUGACAGGUUACGCCACUUGAUUAUGAAAUGAAGCAUCUAAUAAUGGGACAAUCUGUCUGUAGGCGCCAUAUAUUAGAUAUUCUAUUACCUUAGCUUCAGAAAUUUCUCCAUCAUCCAUGGUGGUUAUGAAACUUUGGUCCAUCCCAGCUUCAGGAAAAGGAGUAUCCGCUUCAUCUUCAUCUAUAUAAGCUUCAAAAAUAUCUCCUUCAUAAUCUGUGAUGUCAAUCAAACGUUCUGCUGGCCAAUAGUCUUCCACCCAAGCUUCUUCAUCAGAUGAGAUGUCCAUAAAAUAUGUUGUCCUUGCAAGCUUCAAAAACGCAGGUCUCAAAGUAUCCAGCUAAAGGGAAGAAAAUGAAGGGUCCAAUGUUUGAUGACUUAAGCCAGAAGUGCUUUUUUUAAGCACUACUAAAUAGGCCCUUAACCAGCUAAAGCAGUGGAGUGGCUGAACUUCGAUGAUAAGAAAUGCUACUUGUACUCGAAUAGGUAAGUCGAGUGAGUGAUCAUGGGAAGAUUGGGAUAUAAGUUUUGAAUGAGGGCUUUCCAUAACUUGCAAAGAAGCUCUCAUAAAACGAUUGCUUGGUGGAUAAUCUAUUGUGUCGAAAAGAAAAGAAAAGAAAAAGUAUUUUUAA
RNA transcript from Gossypium raimondii (Peruvian cotton), 2075 nucleotides. RefSeq lists it as uncharacterized. The record is from RefSeq and is a predicted model, not a curated record. Lineage: Eukaryota; Viridiplantae; Streptophyta; Magnoliopsida; Malvales; Malvaceae. The transcript is spliced from 4 exons.